Carlito syrichta (Philippine tarsier) is the source of this 991-nucleotide RNA transcript. It is a transcript of the gene named carboxy-terminal domain RNA polymerase II polypeptide A small phosphatase 2 pseudogene, with no coding region annotated. The record is from RefSeq and is a predicted model, not a curated record. The transcript has a single exon. Lineage: Eukaryota; Metazoa; Chordata; Mammalia; Primates; Tarsiidae.
GAGAUGUUGGACCCAAACUGAGGAACCCGGAGCUGCCGCCAGGGGAUCGGGGCCGCGGGCACCCAGGGGAGCCGCUGCCCGGGCCGCCCGCCCUCCGUCCAGACCGCCUCCCUUCCCGGCUCGGGAGGAAACAGGAGGGGGGAUGUGAACAGCUGCGGGAGUCAGAGUCUCGGGAGCCGGAGCGGGCCCCCGCCCAGGCCCCCCAGCCCAGCCCAGCCCACGUGCCCACCGGUCCUCCUGCCCAGCCAGCCCGGGCACGCGGGAUUGUUAGAUGGAACACUGCUCCAACAUCACCCAGGCGCGGAGGGAGGACGCCCUGGUGCUCACCAAACAAGGCCUGGUCUCCGAGUCCUCCCCCAAGAAGCCCCAGGGACGGAGCAUCUUCAAGGCCCUUUUCUGCUGUUUUCGUGCCCAGCAUGUUGGACAGUCAAGCUCCUCCGCUGAGCUCGCGGCGUACAAGGAGGAAGCCAACACCACUGCUAAGUCGGACCUGCUCCCAUGUCUCCAGUGCCAAUUUUAUCAGAUCCCGGGGACCUGCCUGCCCCCAGAGAUGACAGAGGAAGAUCAGGGAAGGAUCUGUGUGGUCAUACAGGUCAUCGACCUGUAUGAAACCCUCGUGCACAGCUCCUUAAAGCCAAUCAACAACGGUGACUUCACAGUGCCUGUAGAAAUUGAGGGGGCCAUGCACCAGGUGUACGUGCUCAAGAAGCCUGACAUGGAUGAGUUCCUGAGACGGAUGGGGGAACUCUUCGAGUGUGUUCUCUUCGCUGCCAGCCUGGCCAAGCAUGCCGACGCCGGCACGGAUCUGCUGGACCGCUGCGGGAUGUUUCGGGAUCGCCUGUUCCGGGAGUCCUGUGUGUUUCACCAAGGCUGCUACGUCAAGGACCUCAGUCAUCUGGGCAGGGACCUGAGGAAGACGCUCAUCCUGGAUAACUCGCCUACUUCACACAUUUUCCACCCGGAAAAUGCAGUGCGUGCAGUCCUGGUUUGA